This 268-nucleotide unclassified non-coding RNA is filed under the name Hevea brasiliensis (rubber tree). Lineage: Eukaryota; Viridiplantae; Streptophyta; Magnoliopsida; Malpighiales; Euphorbiaceae. The record is from RNAcentral.
GAAGGCAAUUCAUUCUCAACCUUGUGUUUCAAUCUCCUAAGAACAAAUGGACGCAAAACUUGGUGCAGACGGUUAAUGAUCAAAAGAUUUUCCUCCUCUGAGAGCAAAGCUUCAUCAGGUGAGCUAUCACCGCUCUCAAAUGGCUUGUUAAACCAUUGUGAGAAGUCUUCUGAUGAAUUGAAGAUAUUUGGCAAAAGGAAGUUAAGUAGUGCCCAGAGCUCCUCAAGAUUGUUCUGAAGAGGAGUGCCCGUCAACAGUAACCUAUGAU